AUGGUCAUGUUGAGUUGCAUAAGCCUGUUGUUGAUUGAUUGGGAGAUACUGUCAUGGCUUCGGUGUGAUCAGCUCGCUGUAACUGAUAGAUAUCCGAGAAUGGAUUUGCUUUUGAGAUUUAUUAUAGGCUUAGUGUAUUGCCGUCUUUUUUCUCUCUCUGCUCCGCAUCCAAUUUUUGUACUGUUUCUAAGGCAUUUUAAUAUGGCAAAUUUAGCGAUUCUAUUUCUGGAGAGUUAUAGAAUCAAGCCGAACUUGAGUAUCUUUCGUGUGAUGUUCUUGGUCAGUCUGGGACCGAACAUUAUUGGUAUUUAG
This 312-nucleotide ribosomal RNA is filed under the name Triticum aestivum (bread wheat). Its description in RNAcentral is "partial small subunit ribosomal RNA". The record is from RNAcentral. Lineage: Eukaryota; Viridiplantae; Streptophyta; Magnoliopsida; Poales; Poaceae.